CUGACUUUGGCUUUAUAAUAUUUAGCUGUUCUCUACCUAUGAACUGAAAGAAGUCCGUUGACUUAGUUGGAGGAGAGAAAGUUGAGAAGACAGUCUUCAGAAAUAAUGCAAAUAACAAUUACAUAUGGAUUUGCCCUUCUAAGAAUUCGUACCAUGAUGAUUUGGGUUUUGUCCUGUUAAUUUGUUUUUAAGUAAGAGGGAAGAUUAACUUAGUGAAUAAUACCGAAAAUAAUAUCUGUUGAGUUGUUGUGUUUAGCAUAUUUUCAGGAGCCAUUUAAUUAUUUAAAUAGUUAGAUACAGAGUAUUCUUUCAUAGGACUUUCAAACCCUAUGUGUAUAUGGAUAUAUGCUUAUUUUUAAAACAGUCCUAAAUGACACUUAAUCCAUUCUCUUCCCC
This 396-nucleotide long non-coding RNA is filed under the name Bos taurus (domestic cattle). Its description in RNAcentral is "long non-coding RNA NONBTAT018896". Lineage: Eukaryota; Metazoa; Chordata; Mammalia; Artiodactyla; Bovidae. The record is from RNAcentral.